Molecule: ribosomal RNA, 423 nt
Filed under: Triticum aestivum (bread wheat)
Lineage: Eukaryota; Viridiplantae; Streptophyta; Magnoliopsida; Poales; Poaceae
Description: partial small subunit ribosomal RNA
Source: RNAcentral
AUGUCGGCCCCUUCAUCCUUCAUCGUCCUCCUGCCCGUGCCUUUCCUUUCGCCCCUGUUUUUGUCGUGCGAGAACGUGAGGAUGACGACCGGCGCCAAGUCCUGCUCGAGCACCCGCCUGCGUUGCUGCGUCGGUGCACUGUGUCGCUGCUCGUUGCCUGCCAAGACCGUCUCCGUGGAAUUUCACAGUACACCACCUACAAUACCACACGGAUGCCCGAGCGAGUACCCAAUGAAACGCCAAGACCUACAAGAACGACUUCGUGGACCUACUUCCACUACUUCCUCUACGCUGACUCGAACCGCUCCGAUAAUGCACGCUUCAGAGUUUGCAGGUGCCGAUGAUACCGUGCAGGUGACGCAACCGAGCUCAAGGAGGAGCUCGAUGAAGUUCGUGUUCGUUAUGUUGUUCCGUUUCAGUUGA